ACGGAGGGUGCGAGCGUUGUCCGGAAUCACUGGGCGUAAAGGGCGCGUAGGCGGUCUGCUAAGCGUGCGGUGAAAGCCUGGGGCUCGACCCCAGGUCUGCCGUGCGAACUGGUGGACUUGAGCACUGUAGAGGCAGGUGGAAUUUCGGGUGUAGCGGUGGAAUGCGUAGAGAUCCGAAAGAACACCGGUGGCGAAGGCGGCCUGCUGGGCAGUAGCUGACGCUGAGGCGCGACAGCGUGGGGAGCAAACAGGA
Molecule: ribosomal RNA, 253 nt
Filed under: uncultured prokaryote
Description: partial 16S ribosomal RNA
Rfam family: Bacterial small subunit ribosomal RNA
Source: RNAcentral